UACGUAGGGCGCGAGCGUUGUCCGGAAUUAUUGGGCGUAAAGAGCUCGUAGGCGGCCUGUCGCGUCAAUUGUGAAAGCCCGGGGCUUAACCCCGGGUCUGCAGUCGAUACGGGCAGGCUAGAGUGUGGUAGGGGAGAUCGGAAUUCCUGGUGUAGCGGUGAAAUGCGCAGAUAUCAGGAGGAACACCGGUGGCGAAGGCGGAUCUCUGGGCCAUCACUGACGCUGAGGAGCGAAAGCGUGGGGAGCGAACAGG
This 253-nucleotide ribosomal RNA is filed under the name uncultured bacterium. RNAcentral's name for it is "partial 16S ribosomal RNA". It matches the Rfam family "Bacterial small subunit ribosomal RNA", at positions 524 to 776 of the family's 1533-position model. The record is from RNAcentral.